CAACAGGGAUUGCCUCAGUAACGGCGAGUGAAGCGGCAACAGCUCAAAUUUGAAAUCUGGCCCUAGGCCCGAGUUGUAAUUUGCAGAGGAUGCUUUUGGUGCGGUGCCUUCCAAGUUCCCUAGAACGGGACGCCAGAGAGGGUGAGAGCCCCGUACAGUUGGACACCAAGCCUUUGUAAAGCUCCUUCGACGAGUCGAGUAGUUUGGGAAUGCUGCUCAAAAUGGGAGGUAUAUUUCUUCUAAAGCUAAAUACCGGCCAGAGACCGAUAGCGCACAAGUAGAGUGAUCGAAAGAUGAAAAGCACUUUGAAAAGAGGGUUAAACAGCACGUGAAAUUGUUAAAAGGGAAGCGCUUGUGACCAGACUUGCGUCCGGUGAAUCACCCAGCUCUCGCGGCUGGGGCACUUCGCCGGCUCAGGCCAGCAUCAGCUCGCUGUCGGGGACAAAAGCUUCGGGAACGUAGCUCUCUUCGGGGAGUGUUAUAGCCUGUUGCAUAAUACCCUUCGGCGGGCUGAGGUACGCGCUCCGCAAGGAUGCUGGCAUAAUGGUCAUCAGCGACCCGUCUUGAAACACGGACCAAGGAGUCAACCUUAUGUGCGAGUGUUCGGGUGUCAAACCCCUACGCGUAAUGAAAGUGAACGCAGGUGAGAGCUUCGGCGCAUCAUCGACCGAUCCUGAUGUUCUCGGAUGGAUUUGAGUAAGAGCAUAUAGGGUUGGACCCGAAAGAAGGUGAACUAUGCGUGUAUAGGGUGAAGCCAGAGGAAACUCUGGUGGAGGCUCGCAGCGGUUCUGACGUGCAAAUCGAUCGUCAAAUAUGCGCAUGGGGGCGAAAGACUAAUCGAA
RNAcentral lists this ribosomal RNA (842 nucleotides) under Colletotrichum fragariae. RNAcentral describes it as "LSU rRNA". It matches the Rfam family "Eukaryotic large subunit ribosomal RNA", at positions 66 to 939 of the family's 3401-position model. Lineage: Eukaryota; Fungi; Ascomycota; Sordariomycetes; Glomerellales; Glomerellaceae. The record is from RNAcentral.